CCUACGUGACGCAGCAGUGAGGAAUAUUGGUCAAUGGGCGGAAGCCUGAACCAGCCAAGUAGCGUGAAGGAAUAAGGCCCUACGGGUCGUAAACCUCUUUUGACGGGGAGAAAGGGCGGGGCAGUGUCGCGGCCCGGAGAGUACCCGGAGAAAACGCAUCGGCUAAAUCCGUGCCAGCAGCCGCGGUAAUACGGAGGAUGCGAGCGUUAUCCGGAUUUGUUGGGUUUAAGGGGUGCGUAGUCGGGCUUUUAAGUCAGCGGUAAAAAUUCGGGGCUCAACCCCGUCCGGCCGUUGAAACUGGGUGCCUUGAGUGGGCGAGAAGAAGGCGGAAUGCGUGGUGUAGCGGUGAAAGGCAUAGAUAUCUCGCAGAACCCCGAUUGCGAAGGCAGCCUUCCGGCGCCCUACUGACGCUGAGGCACGAAAGUGCGGGGAUCGAACAGGAUUAGAUACCCCUGUAGUC
RNAcentral lists this ribosomal RNA (460 nucleotides) under uncultured bacterium. RNAcentral describes it as "partial 16S ribosomal RNA". It matches the Rfam family "Bacterial small subunit ribosomal RNA", at positions 338 to 795 of the family's 1533-position model. The record is from RNAcentral.